RNAcentral lists this non-coding RNA (29 nucleotides) under Homo sapiens (human). Lineage: Eukaryota; Metazoa; Chordata; Mammalia; Primates; Hominidae. The record is from RNAcentral.
UUGAGAAGGACUCCAUGUUCAAGUGCAGA